Molecule: ribosomal RNA, 92 nt
Filed under: Methylococcales bacterium
Lineage: Bacteria; Pseudomonadati; Pseudomonadota; Gammaproteobacteria; Methylococcales
Source: RNAcentral
CCACCCGAUCCCAUCCCGAACUCGGAAGUGAAACCGCUUAGCGCCAAUGAUAGUGUGGCACUUUGCCAUGCGAAAGUAGGGAAUCGCCAAGC